Molecule: ribosomal RNA, 292 nt
Filed under: uncultured Gemmatimonadaceae bacterium
Lineage: Bacteria; Pseudomonadati; Gemmatimonadota; Gemmatimonadia; Gemmatimonadales; Gemmatimonadaceae
Description: partial 16S ribosomal RNA
Rfam family: Bacterial small subunit ribosomal RNA
Source: RNAcentral
GUGUCAGCAGCCGCGGUAAUACAGAGGGUGCAAGCGUUGUCCGGAAUCACUGGGCGUAAAGGGCGCGUAGGCGGCCUGGUAAGUCGGAGGUGAAACGCUGCGGCUCAACCGCAGCACUGCCUUCGAGACUGCCUGGCUUGAGCACGGUAGAGGCUGGUGGAAUUCCCGGUGUAGCGGUGGAAUGCGUAGAGAUCGGGAAGAACAUCGGUGGCGAAGGCGGCCAGCUGGGCCGUUGCUGACGCUGAGGCGCGACAGCGUGGGGAGCAAACAGGAUUAGAAACCCCUGUAGUCC